GUUAGGUGCCUGGGUCAAGAAGCUUCACCUUUCUGAGAAUGGGAAGAACAAGGGGAAAAAUUAGAAAGAACAAUGCCAACAUCCAAGAUUUAGUGGUAGGAGUAGAAAGAUCCAACAACAGCAUUACUCAAACAGGUCCAUAAAAUCCAAGAAUGAAGGGGAAAAGAGGGGGAGAGACAGAAGUUUGUUGGACAGGUAUGGGUCUGUCUCCUCUAUGUCUUAUCAUGCAGUCCUAUCUGCAGGGGAAAAAAAACACACACA
This is a long non-coding RNA of Leopardus geoffroyi (Geoffroy's cat), 261 nucleotides long. RefSeq lists it as uncharacterized. Lineage: Eukaryota; Metazoa; Chordata; Mammalia; Carnivora; Felidae. The record is from RefSeq and is a predicted model, not a curated record. The transcript has 2 exons.